RNAcentral lists this non-coding RNA (77 nucleotides) under Melghirimyces profundicolus. Lineage: Bacteria; Bacillati; Bacillota; Bacilli; Caryophanales; Thermoactinomycetaceae. The record is from RNAcentral.
UUGAGCGGAUUGCGGGGAAACUCGCACGAUUCGUUCUUAGGGGGGAACGGCCCCGAAAGGGGCCUGCCCUACCCGAC